Long non-coding RNA from Gopherus flavomarginatus (Mexican gopher tortoise), 2126 nucleotides. RefSeq lists it as uncharacterized. The transcript is spliced from 5 exons. NCBI's taxonomy places the organism in Eukaryota, Metazoa, Chordata, Testudines, Testudinidae. The record is from RefSeq and is a predicted model, not a curated record.
CUCGACUGUUGUAGGAUUUGGCCUUCCUGUAUCUGUGGCGCCUAGGGCUGGGCAUGUGUUCUUCUGGCCAGCUCCCCUCAUCCUUGCUCAUAGCUGCCAGAUCGAUGUCGUCUUGGAGAACACAACUGAGGCGACACUGAAAUCCUGCCUCUUUUCUGGGAGGAAAAAGAAGGGCCACUUUUUAAAUUAACUACAAAAACAGCCACACUAUAAAAGGCUCCUUCCAAUACCAAUUCUUAUGGCCACAUAUACAGAGCUAUUCAGUUAAGAUAUAGCAGCUUCUGCACACAUCAGGAAACCUUCAGUAAGGCACAGAAGUCAUAGGAGAAACAAGCUGCCCGCAAGUGAAGCUAAUUUAAGAAGAACUCAACCAACUUCGAGAAUUUUUUUUAAUUCGUUAAAGAAGGCCACACAGAGACACAAGCCCAAGUCCAAAUCAGAACCACAGAUCCUGACCCAAAUAAGGUGUGCGCUGAAUCUGGAUUUUUGAACAUGGAGGUUCAGUAUGGCGAAUUAUAAGAUACUGCAAAAGGGCAUGGUACCAGCUCAAAGAAAGAUGGUAUGGCGUCUAAAAAUGGAGAAUUGGUAGCUGCAUAUUAAAUCACUUUAAAAAAAACUUGUUCUUCAGCAGAAAGGCUUGAAUUUCUAGGAUAACAAAGGCGCAGACGUAGAACUUCAAGUGCUGCUUACAGAGCAAUUCAGCAUUUAGAUAGUUCAGAAAAGUAGAAUCUUGUGUCUUUGGACUUUUAAGCACUUAAUGCUUUAAACUUGAUGUACCUACACUAAGAAAGGAAACACACACUCCAUCCCCAUUCCCCCUCAUCACCCACCUCCCUGUAGCCCUACUCAACUGUAAACCCCUCUGCACAUUUCUAGAAUACACGUGUACUAUGGCAUUGAAGGUAGCGGGAGCUUUUUUGAAGAGUCUCCUAUUGGUACAAGCCUCCAUUUUUCCAAUACCAAGUCAGCUAGGCUUAGUGGUACAACAGAAACCCUCCAACAAUUUUAUUUUAAAUUUCGUAGCUUCACACAGUGUAUUCCUCUGUGCAUAGUGGAAGAUUCUGACUAGAGUAUUUAAACCUCUGACUUAACGCUCAGCAUUUCAUCUCCUUAACAAGUGCCAGUGCUUUACAAAACUGUUCUACAAUCCCGCUCUUAUAAAAUAGUUUCAAAUCAAAUAUGUUUUUGUUCCUCUUAGUUCUGAUAACAUGGCCUCCUUAUUCUAGUGAGACUUUAGCACACUGAAGAUUUAAAAUGAACCCUUUGGAAACUACAGACGAGAUUACAUCCUUUAGAAUGUCCUGUAAAACCCAAGUCAUCAGUAGAGUGGCCCAAACCCCACAAAACAAACUUUGAAGGGGAUCUCUCUCCAUUCCCCUCACAGUAAGCUCCACUUCCUCACCAAAUUUGUUACCUUUGGUGACUUCAGAGAAAUACAGCCAUCUGUACCUUUCACUUGGCUCAGUAGAAGGACAGGGGGUUUCUGGUCCACACUUACAGGGUGAUGGGCUACCUGGCAAAAAAUGCUGUCUCCUUUAGAGUGUCUUCUACGGGGGAUAAAACAUGUCCUUCUGCUCCAUCUCUGUAGUAUAGCCGGUGUAGGCACAUCCUUCCCCUGCUUUUCAGAGACCCUUUCAAACUUUGGGAGAGGCCCCCUGACCUAGCGUCAGCCUCUCCCAAAUCCCGCAAGGCCCUCCUCCUCCGUAGAUCUGGACAAAGGAGAUGCCUGUCCUAUUUAAAUACUGCUAAUGGUAAUUUUCCUACAUAGCAUUUGGAUAGCACAGUAUUAACAAGCCCUUCCUGCACAUACCUUUGUAAAGGAUUAAUGAUGCAAAAGUGACAAUGACAUUCUGAUUCAAGGAAAGUUUUUGUCAGGCUUCAAACAUUAUUUUCAUUGAUAGCCUCUAAUGAAGUGUCACUUCUUUACAGAAACACAUGGGAUGGCAAGUUUAAUCUGUAAUUAAAUUCUAGCAAAUUGGUAUGAAGCACACUAUUGGCUCUUCAGUACUUUGUGUUUAAGUUAUCUGUAGACUGAGGCAAGAAACAAAACAGAGCUCAGUGUGAUGUUCUCUUGUGUACAGGUGCAGCAAUUCCAAGUCCAAAAUGGCAACAAUCUCUGCUCACAG